CCUACGGGUGGCAGCAGUGAGGAAUAUUGGUCAAUGGGCGCAAGCCUGAACCAGCCAAGUCGCGUGAGGGAUGCCGGUCCUAUUGAUUGUAAACCUCUUUUGUCGGGGAGCAAGGCCCGCCACGUGUGGCGGGAAGGAGAGUACCCGCAGAAAAAGCAUCGGCAAACUCCGUGCCAGCAGCCGAGGUAAUACGGGGGAUGCGAGCGUUCUCCGGAUUUAUUGGGUUUAAUGGGUGCGUAGGCGGAAGGUUAAGUCAGCGGUCAAAUGUCGGUGCUCAACUCCGGCCUGCCGUUGAAACUGGUCGUCUUGAGUGAGCGAGAAGUAUGCGGAAUGCGUGGUGUAGCGGUGAAAUGCAUAGAUAGCACGCAGAACUCCGAUUGCGAAGGCAGCAGACCGGCGCUCAACUGACGCUGAGGCACGAAAGCGUGGGGAUCGAACAGGAUUAGAUACCCCGGUAGUC
Molecule: ribosomal RNA, 460 nt
Filed under: uncultured bacterium
Lineage: Bacteria
Description: partial 16S ribosomal RNA
Rfam family: Bacterial small subunit ribosomal RNA
Source: RNAcentral